Molecule: small RNA, 341 nt
Filed under: Histoplasma ohiense
Lineage: Eukaryota; Fungi; Ascomycota; Eurotiomycetes; Onygenales; Ajellomycetaceae
Description: hypothetical lncRNA
Source: RNAcentral
AUUCAAUCUUGAAGAUUGCCCGGCAAUGCCACAUCUACAAAACGACUCGUAUCACGGAAGCACCUUCGGCGCCUUGGCUGCGGGAAACAACACUACCAGGAGAGAGAACCCUUCGCACCCAUCCUGAGCUCCGUGUUCCAUCAUGUCAGCCGCUGUCUCGAUGAUGUUGAUGGCGUAGGCGCGCCAGAGAGUGAAUACGAAGACCGGCUAAUGGCUGAAUUCGAGGCUAUAAUUAACACGGUUGGUCCCAAGACUGUGGCCGCAGGCAUUGUCGAGCCGGUGGUGGGUGCAACACUUGGGAUCGUACCAGCAACGAGAUCAUCCCCCCCCCGCCUCAAAGA